Molecule: long non-coding RNA, 123 nt
Organism: Protopterus annectens (West African lungfish)
Lineage: Eukaryota; Metazoa; Chordata; Ceratodontiformes; Protopteridae
Exons: 3
Source: RefSeq, a predicted model, not a curated record
CAACAUCUCAAGCAAAGUUGGCAGUGCCAUGACUGCUCCCCAGGCUAGUGAAAGUGGAUAAGGUACACAUACUAAACCUAGAGUACUUGAUAAUAGUUUUCACUCUUACUCACAAACACUGGC